This 230-nucleotide long non-coding RNA is filed under the name Mytilus galloprovincialis (Mediterranean mussel). The record is from RNAcentral. Lineage: Eukaryota; Metazoa; Mollusca; Bivalvia; Mytilida; Mytilidae.
UUUUUCUUUUAAAAAAAUAUUGAAUUUAUUUAUAGUUUAGAGAAGAAAAUGUCUCUGUGUCAAUAUAAAAACCUUUAGAUAGGAUUGAUAUUAAUGAAUAUUCUCACAAAUUUCAGCUAGAUGUAUAUGUUUACCCAGUUGUAAAUAUGUAGUGUUCAUUUUUGUACCAAAAGUGCCACCAUUUUUGUCAGGUACAAAAUGUCUUGUUAUGAAUAUUUCCUUUUUAAAGC